Long non-coding RNA from Brachypodium distachyon (stiff brome), 2852 nucleotides. RefSeq lists it as uncharacterized. The transcript has 2 exons. The record is from RefSeq and is a predicted model, not a curated record. Lineage: Eukaryota; Viridiplantae; Streptophyta; Magnoliopsida; Poales; Poaceae.
AAAAAUAAAAAAGGAAGGACACAUAUAGAAGGGGGUAAAAGAGGAGAGAGGAUAAGGGGUUUACCGGCCGCCUCCUCGCCGUCGCCGCCGGCUGCCAGAGUGGGUGCCUGAGACCUCCUCGCCUUGGGCCUAGGCGGCGCUCGUACGGGAGGGAGGGGAGGAGAUAGAAGCGGCCCGCCAACCAACAGGAUAUGGUCUUCGCACAUAAGGGGUUGCUGGGCGUGCCGCAGGCCGCUCCCGCGAAGCGACCACCAAGACCCGUGCGUACCCGCCGCCAACCGCGCCUCGUCGGAGUGCCGGUGCUCCUUCCUCGCCGAGAGUGUCGGCGCAUCCAUCGAUGCCGCCGCCGUAGAUCUCUAAAUUCUCGCUCUCCAAGCUCUCGGGGCUUAGAUAUGGCUGGGGAGGCCGGCCGAAGAUCCACGAGGACGGGAGGGGAACCAUGAAGACGGGACGGGAGGAGGCCUAUGGGCAGGAAGAGGAGCGCUCGGAGAGAAACAGGGAAGAAGCAACGGCACGAAUCGUUCAAGUACCCCACCUUGGAGGGCGAAUCGACCUUCUGGCUAUGGCGGACCGGGGGGCUGGGAGCAGGGACGUGCCCCAAGCAAUUGGAACUGGCAGGCUCUGCAGCAAUUCCGGUCACCGCCACCGAUGCAAGGUGGUCCGAUCCAGUACCAGGUACCUCCUCCAGAUCCCUAUGGACAUCAUGGUAGGGGAUUUAUCGGUUGGGAUCCGCGCAAUCAUUGUGGUGGGGGGCACUUCAAUGCCGGCUCUCAGGGCCCCGGGAUCCAAGGGCAGGAGCAGUUCUACCGCCGCCGGUUGGAUUUGGAGGACCUGGACCUGGUCAAUUCGCAGCUGCAACAGGGACUUCGGUUCCAUCUGGAGUUCAGAAGCAACCAACUGUUUCGUUUGGACCUUUGACAGGUGGUGGAGGUUCUGCUUCGGUUCUUAGUGCAAAUAGCUCAUCACAGGCCAAUACUCUGUCUGGUGGUCAGCAGCAAUCUUCGGCCACUUCAGAUGUUUCCAAGCCUGUGGCAGAGAGUGGUAAAAGCUGUGGUUAAGCAUUGCUAUAGAUGUGAGAUGCCGGGACAUGGUGUUAAGGAAUGUAAGACAGUCCUACUUUGUGAGAUCUGUGCCAAGGAUACUCAUCUUACCUCUAAGUGUGCCUUCCCUAAUCAACCAAAACCGACAGUUCAGCUUGCUGGGUCUGCGCCAGAUGGUUUGCGGAUGUUUGUAGCUCCAAUUGUAAAGAAGGCAACUGUGGACAGUAGGAAUGCUAUGGCUAUUAUCAAUGUACACUCUGGUUAUAUCACAGCUGAUCAGUUAGUGAAGGCUUUCAACCGAAUGUUCCAGUGAGGAUGGGUUUGGGCUGCUAAAGAUUAUGCUCAUGGCAGUUUUCUUAUGAAGUUCCCUUCUGUUCAGAAAAUUACUGAGCUGAAUCAGUUCAAUAACUUCAAUCUGGUGGGUGAGAGGGCUGAAGUAGUAGUAUCUAGAUGGCCCCCUGAAAAUUUGGCUACCUUCAAGCUGACUAGUGUUUGGGUUAGGGUUUGUGGAGUUCCUGAUGACUUGAUGAAUUACAAUGGGUUCUGCUUGGUGGGUUCUCUGUUAGGUACUGUGCAAGAAUUGGAUAUGCCCACUUACAGGAAGAUGGAGAUCGUCAGAAUCAAAGUUGGGGUGAUGGAUCACACAAAGAUUCCAGAAUGGUCUCCUUUGACUGUGGACCCACAUAUCUACAAGAUCUACUUUCAGAUUGAAAAGGUGGUAGAAAUGGAAGGACCUUUGAUUGGUGGGAUCCCAAUUCAGAGAGGCCCUGCUCAGAGUAACAAAGCUCAAGAUAGAGGUGUAGACAGAGAGUUAAAGAGACAGAAACGCCAUGUCUGAGAAUGAGUGUUUGGACUCACCUGGGGGGCAGAGGGGAGGAUCUAGAAAACUGUUGAGUCUAAUGAAGAGGACGAGGAGAUGGUACCAUCUAGUCAACCUGAUAUAGAUGCUCUUGAUAUUUCUGGCAACAAAAGUACUGUUGUUGCUAAACCUGGUUCUUCUGCUGUGCAAGAGAUAAAUAAGAGAUUUGCUGCUGAUGCUGCUAGGAUGGAAGAGGUUGACUGUUCUGAAACUGAUGAUGAGGGGGAGAAUUAUGAGGAAUAUCAGUCCCAAACAGCAACACAAUUUGCAAAGGUUGUGGUCUUAUCUCUCAGCAAAUUGAAGAUAUUAAAACUCCUGAUCCUUCUCCAGAACAUGAGCAUGUCAUCCCCAUUGGCACUCAGGAGGCUCCUCUGAACAUAGGGGGCCUUGGCACUCCUAAAAGGGCUUAUGCUGAUGUGGUUGGGGGAAGUGGACAGAAGUUAUCUAUUCAGCCUAAGGUGGUCAAUAAAGAUGGAAAGAGCAAAAAGCAAGUCCCAGUGGAUGAUGGUCAUAGGCGCAAGAGUAGCAGGCACCAAAAUGAUGAUAAAGCAACAUUGGACAAAGCUAUGGAAAGAGCUAGGAUGAAGAAUUUGGAGCAGACAGAACCCUGAAUCUCGAAGGAGGAUGCAGAAUGCUGCUGUGCUGCUGCGAGUAAUGGUGAUUAAUGUGUUUGGUAGAUCGCAUGGCUAGGGUUUAAUGAAGCGUUUGGCUGCCGGCUGAUGGUGUGCUGCCUGGCUUGGUUCUUAGACUGUUUUGGUCCUUAUAUUGAACACUUUGGUUUGCUCUAUGUGAUGUAUUGGUUGUUUCGAAUUUGGCUGGCAGUCGGCAGUGCUGUCAGUUUUCCUUUUUCUUUUUUAAACCUUUAGAAUAUUAAACCAUGUUGGUUCCAUUAAUUGGAACGGGGAGCGUGCUCCUUUUGUCUAAAAGAAAAAAAAUCGUUCAAGUACAAGAAA